GGGCUUUCCUUUGUGCUUGAUCUAACCAUGUGGUGGAACGAUGGAAACGGAACAUGGUUCUGUCAAGCACCGCGGAAAGCAUC
Molecule: non-coding RNA, 83 nt
Organism: Mus musculus (house mouse)
Lineage: Eukaryota; Metazoa; Chordata; Mammalia; Rodentia; Muridae
Source: Rfam